AUCAAGUUUUGGAUUAGGUCCGAAUAAUAUUAUACCAGGUUUGGACUUGGAUAUAGAGCCGAUUAUAAUUUUGGGUCGAGCUCGAUAUACUAGUGGCCCGACUCGAGCCCCAGUCUGAAUUUAGGCUCCUUCACUAGCUUGAAAUAUUUGACUCGAGUUCUAUCCCUAGCCAAUUUGGAUUAGCAAAGUAGGCCGAUAGCACUCAAGGGCUAAGGCUUAGCCAGUUAGCCAUUUAACUGCUUA
This 243-nucleotide long non-coding RNA is filed under the name Elaeis guineensis (African oil palm). Its description in RNAcentral is "long non-coding RNA (EGUI_LNC082044)". The record is from RNAcentral. Lineage: Eukaryota; Viridiplantae; Streptophyta; Magnoliopsida; Arecales; Arecaceae.